Molecule: unclassified non-coding RNA, 215 nt
Filed under: Hevea brasiliensis (rubber tree)
Lineage: Eukaryota; Viridiplantae; Streptophyta; Magnoliopsida; Malpighiales; Euphorbiaceae
Source: RNAcentral
GGGAAGGGAACAAAGGGGACAAAGUUAGAACUGCCAGAUUGCUCCAUAGCUGUACGUCUUUUAUACACUGGAGACGUUAAAGAGCGGUCUUUCUUUUGACUGACUACAAAUCUAUUUUCUCCCUUGCGCAUUGGCAUGAUCUCAGGGAAGUCUUCAUCAGAAAUUGCACUAGUAAGAUCUGUCACAUUGUGUAGUUCCGCAACCCUUUUAAACCA